Molecule: long non-coding RNA, 259 nt
Organism: Grammomys surdaster
Lineage: Eukaryota; Metazoa; Chordata; Mammalia; Rodentia; Muridae
Exons: 3
Source: RefSeq, a predicted model, not a curated record
UCCAGCUUGUCCCAAAUCUGAGUGAGGAGUCAGAAUGGCUGGUGUGGAGAAAUGGCAUGGUGGAACCCAUCAGUCAGCCUUCCUGCUCUGCGAGAACCCUUAGUGUUUACCCCUUCCCAUCCUCCAAACCUGAGCCAAGACCGCAGCCAGACCUGGAGUUGCCAGGGUCCCUGAAUUAGACCAAAUUCCAGGGACAUCUCUGCUCUUCUGACUCAAUGACCAACCUCAAUGGGAAAGUACAUGAAACGUCAGACUGUGG